Molecule: long non-coding RNA, 594 nt
Organism: Triticum dicoccoides
Lineage: Eukaryota; Viridiplantae; Streptophyta; Magnoliopsida; Poales; Poaceae
Exons: 3
Source: RefSeq, a predicted model, not a curated record
UUGAAGCUGGCUUCAUGACUCGGAACCUGAGGGAUAAGUAUUAUGACUCCAACGUAUCCUACCUGAACAGAUUGAUCCGGCGCUUUGCCUUAGAAGUUGUAAGGCAAAAAUUUGACGGAUCUCUUGAACAUUCUGCUCAUGAUGAUUAUCAGUAUGAUUUUGUUGCUAGACUUGAAGAAGAUGCUGAGAAUCAUUGCAGGGACAGCCUUGUAAACUCUGAUCCAGCUUCUGAGGAGAAAGGAAAUGUUGCAUCAUGUGCCUCCACAUGCAGCAACGGAAACUGAGGAAUGGAUGGUGCCAUGAAGGAGAAAGGGUUAGGAAAGAUGGAUCGCGAUUUCAUUUAUGCUCCCUUCCAAUUGGUGUGCUGCAUGAAGCGGACAUGCUUUUCAAGCUAUGUGUUGGGUUCAAGUUUAAUUGUGUCAAACAUACCUUUUACCAAUCUAGCUUAUAUAUUUGGACCAAAUUCACCCCAAUAUUUUUGUGUUGAUACCUUUAUCCUCUCUUUCUCUUUCAUAUCUGUGGAAAUAAGAUGGGGUAGUUUUGUUUCGUGUCAACAGCUUUUACCAAUCUAGCUUAUAUAUUUUACGUCUCAAA